This 62-nucleotide transfer RNA is filed under the name Ochthebius nanus. RNAcentral's name for it is "tRNA-Cys". The record is from RNAcentral. Lineage: Eukaryota; Metazoa; Arthropoda; Insecta; Coleoptera; Hydraenidae.
AGUCUUAUAUUCAACAAUGAUUUUAAAUUGCAAAUUUAAAGGUGGAGUAUGCCCUAAGGCUU